This 497-nucleotide ribosomal RNA is filed under the name uncultured bacterium. Its description in RNAcentral is "partial 16S ribosomal RNA". It matches the Rfam family "Bacterial small subunit ribosomal RNA", at positions 28 to 507 of the family's 1533-position model. The record is from RNAcentral.
GAUGAACGCUGGCGGCGUGCCUAAUACAUGCAAGUCGAGCGAACGGACGAGAAGCUUGCUUCUCUGAUGUUAGCGGCGGACGGGUGAGUAACACGUGGAUAACCUACCUAUAAGACUGGGAUAACUUCGGGAAACCGGAGCUAAUACCGGAUGAUAUUUUGAACAGCAUGGUUCGAAAGUGAAAGACGGUCUUGCUGUCACUUAUAGAUGGAUCCGCGCUGCAUUGACUAGUUGGUAAGGUAACGGCUUACCAAGGCAACGAUGCAUAGCCGCCCUGAGGGGGUCAACGGCCACACUGGAACAGAGACACGGCCCAGACUCCUGCGGGAGGCAGCGGUAGGGAAUCUUCCGCAAUGGGCGAAAGCCUGACGGAGCAACGCCGCGUGAGUGAUGAAGGUCUUCGGAUCGUAAAACUCUGUUAUUAGGGAAGAACAUAUGUGUAAGUAACUGUGCACAUCUUGACGGUACCUAAUCAGAAAGCCACGGCUAACUACGUG